UAGGGAAUCUUCCGCAAUGGACGCAAGUCUGACGGAGCAACGCCGCGUGAGUGAAGAAGGAUUUCGGUUCGUAAAACUCUGUUGUUAGAGAAGAACAGCGCAUAGAGUAACUGUUAUGCGUGUGACGGUAUCUAACCAGAAAGCCACGGCUAACUACGUGCCAGCAGCCGCGGUAAUACGUAGGUGGCAAGCGUUGUCCGGAUUUAUUGGGCGUAAAGCGAGCGCAGGCGGUCAAUUAAGUCUGAUGUGAAAGCCCCCGGCUCAACCGGGGAGGGGCAUUGGAAACUGGUUGACUGGAGUGCAGAAGAGGAGAGUGGAAUUCCAUGUGUAGCGGUGAAAUGCGUAGAUAUAUGGAGGAACAACAGUGGCGAAGGCGGCUCUCUGGUCUGUAACUGACGCUGAGGUUCGAAAGCGUGGGUAGCAAACAGG
This 429-nucleotide ribosomal RNA is filed under the name Bacteroidota bacterium. RNAcentral's name for it is "Bacteroidetes bacterium partial 16S ribosomal RNA". It matches the Rfam family "Bacterial small subunit ribosomal RNA", at positions 355 to 776 of the family's 1533-position model. The record is from RNAcentral. Lineage: Bacteria; Pseudomonadati; Bacteroidota.